Anas platyrhynchos (mallard) is the source of this 1972-nucleotide non-coding RNA. NCBI's taxonomy places the organism in Eukaryota, Metazoa, Chordata, Aves, Anseriformes, Anatidae. The record is from RefSeq and is a predicted model, not a curated record.
CCCCGAAUUCCGCCAGAGAGGGGCCGGGAGGAGCCUCCGGCUCGGCUCGGCCGAGGAGGGAGGGAGGAAAGGAGGAGAAGGAGGAGGAGGAGGAGGAGGAGGAGGGAGCUGCCACGUCCUCUGCGCCGAGCGGCGCCAGCCCCGCGCCUCACUCAGCCCCACGUGUGGCGGAGCGGGGGAAGUUGCGGCGGGGAGCCCGGACUCUGCCCCUCGCUGGCCGCCUGUCCCUGCUCUCAGGAGGGCGCAGCUCCGACCCUGGAGGUGGUCGAGGAGUUCCUAGAGAAUGGGAGGCAGCCUCAGGGGGAUGCUACAGCAGUGUGACAGCACUUGGAGUGGAAAGAAGACUCUCAGCUUCUGUUUGAGGAGACAAGGCAAGUUUCCAGCUCUCCUGCAGAGUGAGAACGCUGGCCACUGAGCUUGGAAAUGUUUGCACAAGGCUGGAGUACACCGAGGCCAUCGCUUUCUCAUCACCCUUCUGAGAGCAGCUUGAUCGGAGAGAUUUUAAAUAGGCAGCGAUAACUAGGUUAUUAAUUACAGCCCUCCCGAUGCUAUAUUAUCUCCUUCCCCUCCUUGUCCGAGUUUGGCCUUCCCAGUGGGCGAGCAGGGUGAUUCCUGGCCCAUGAAGCCCACGUGUGGCUGAUGAGAGGCCUGGAAGUGGAUGAGGACGGCCGUGGCCCUUACUCUGCACCACACGGGCUGCAAACUUUCAUUUUAUGCAGCUGAACAGUUUGUAAGCACUGCAGGAACACCCCUGCAUGUACCCGUACAGCGUCCUGGACCUUUCCUGUGGGCAAGUGUUAACUCCUGCAGAAACCACGCGGGCUCCUAGAGGCAGCAGGAGCCUGGCAGCAGCUCGCAGAGCCUGGCGGCCUCCUUUCUGCGGUUCAGGUAGGAUGAACCCCGAGGCUCAUCUGGCUAAAAUCUCUAGGCUGGUUUCUCUGCAAGGCCACCUCUGCUGGUAGCAAAGCCAAAUAGCCCGGUCUGCUGGCAGCGUGUUUGAAGAUGGGUGCCAGAUUGCCAAACUGGAGAGCACCAGCUUGCAGCUCAAGUGGCGCUGACAUUUGCAGGGAGGCUUCGUGUUCCAAGCCAUCAGAUGCUAGCUGGGUUCCAAUGCUGCAGCUGGCAGAAGAAAGACUUUCUAAGACUUUCUAAGGCUUGAACUUUGUCUCCUCUUUGGAGAAGCAUCCCAGCCAGCCAAAUUUCCCUUUUAUGCUUUAUCAACACUGAAAGGAACCGCUUGACUCGGAGGCCAAGUUGAAUUUAUGGAGUUUAAGAUCGGAAGAAGCUGGCAAGGCGUGCACAUGGGAUGCAGAAGGAGCGACCCCAGGUGCCCAUGGGUCCUUCAUGCUGGACUUGUUCCUCUGGAUGGCACCCAGGGAGGAGCUCAGACAGACAGACAGACAGACAGAUCUGUUGGUUUGCUGGCGGGUUCCCAAUGCCAUGGGACAGUUCUGCCAGCCUGGUUGCUUCCGUGGCUUUGGGUUGGCGGAGCUGUCCCGCAUCGUACCUGAACUGAGGAAACAUCCCACCAACCGACUGGGUGAGAUUCACAACAGGCAGCUGGCUGCGAGGAGAAGGGAUGGGUGAAAGGACGAAAGCCCUUCUGCAGCGGCACCUCGCUGAUAGGUAGUCAUAAGACAACUUGUAACGUUGACCAGAGAUGAUACAUCAAGAAGUCGUGGCUGUGGUGAGCUGCGAGCACGUUGCAGCUUUGCUUGUUGCUCUCAUCACCUGCAGCAGCACGCUAACAUCAGCCUUGUGCUGUGAUAGAAAAGAGAGGAAGGAAAGAGGCAGUUGCAGUCACCCACUAAUUUCGUCAGAUGUUUAAUUCCCGUUUCUCGUACAGCCAGCCAGUUGAAGGAGACAGAAGAUUUCAGCCCCCUGCUUCGAGAGACCUUGGCCCGUCUUCUGCAGCUCAACUCCCCUCACUCCUCCGCUUUGGCAACCGAAAGAUCCUCAGAGGAAAAUGAGG